RNAcentral lists this transfer RNA (62 nucleotides) under Perkinsus olseni. RNAcentral describes it as "tRNA-Thr". It matches the Rfam family "tRNA", at positions 8 to 63 of the family's 71-position model. From Rfam's summary of the family: Transfer RNA (tRNA) molecules are approximately 80 nucleotides in length. Their secondary structure includes four short double-helical elements and three loops (D, anti-codon, and T loops). Further hydrogen bonds mediate the characteristic L-shaped molecular structure. tRNAs have two regions of fundamental functional importance: the anti-codon, which is responsible for specific mRNA codon recognition, and the 3' end, to which the tRNAs corresponding amino acid is attached (by aminoacyl-tRNA synthetases). tRNAs cope with the degeneracy of the genetic code in two manners: having more than one tRNA (with a specific anti-codon) for a particular amino acid; and 'wobble' base-pairing, i.e. permitting non-standard base-pairing at the 3rd anti-codon position. The record is from RNAcentral. Lineage: Eukaryota; Perkinsozoa; Perkinsida; Perkinsidae.
UAGCUUAGUUGGUAGAGCACCCGCUUAGUAAGCGGGAGGUCGUCGGUUCAACUCCGGCAGAA